RNAcentral lists this ribosomal RNA (808 nucleotides) under uncultured bacterium. RNAcentral describes it as "bacterial SSU rRNA". It matches the Rfam family "Bacterial small subunit ribosomal RNA", at positions 8 to 796 of the family's 1533-position model. The record is from RNAcentral.
AGAGUUUGAUCCUGGCUCAGGACGAACGCUGGCGGCGUGCCUAAUACAUGCAAGUCGAGCGAAUCAAUUGGGAGCUUGCUCCCUUUUGGUUAGCGGCGGACGGGUGAGUAACACGUGGGUAACCUGCCUGUAAGACUGGGAUAACUCCGGGAAACCGGGGCUAAUACCGGAUAAGUUUUUCCUCCGCAUGGAGGAACAUUGAAAGAUGGCUUCGGCUAUCACUUACAGAUGGACCCGCGGCGCAUUAGCUAGUUGGUGAGGUAACGGCUCACCAAGGCAACGAUGCGUAGCCGACCUGAGAGGGUGAUCGGCCACACUGGGACUGAGACACGGCCCAGACUCCUACGGGAGGCAGCAGUAGGGAAUCUUCCGCAAUGGACGAAAGUCUGACGGAGCAACGCCGCGUGAGUGAUGAAGGUUUUCGGAUCGUAAAACUCUGUUGUUAGGGAAGAACAAGUACCGUUCGAAUAGGGCGGUGCCUUGACGGUACCUAACCAGAAAGCCACGGCUAACUACGUGCCAGCAGCCGCGGUAAUACGUAGGUGGCAAGCGUUGUCCGGAAUUAUUGGGCGUAAAGCGCGCGCAGGCGGUUUCUUAAGUCUGAUGUGAAAGCCCACGGCUCAACCGUGGAGGGUCAUUGGAAACUGGGAGACUUGAGUGCAGAAGAGGAGAGUGGAAUUCCACGUGUAGCGGUGAAAUGCGUAGAUAUGUGGAGGAACACCAGUGGCGAAGGCGACUCUCUGGUCUGUAACUGACGCUGAGGCGCGAAAGCGUGGGGAGCGAACAGGAUUAGAUACCCCCGUAGUCC